AGAGGAAGAUGUCAAAGGACGAAAAGCAAUGGGCUAGACAAAGACUGGCUCACUGGAUGUGGAGGGUCUGGAUAGAAGCUGAGUCCUAAUUGCAUCAAGCUGGGAUAAGGCCCCCCUUAUAGAAAGUCAGAGCGCAUCUAGAUCAGCAGAUAUGAAGUCUCUGGAGUUCCUGAUGUCUGCUCAAAGCAGCUCAAGAGAAGAAUAAAGCUGGCUAUGGAG
RNAcentral lists this long non-coding RNA (219 nucleotides) under Elaeis guineensis (African oil palm). Its description in RNAcentral is "long non-coding RNA (EGUI_LNC069280)". The record is from RNAcentral. Lineage: Eukaryota; Viridiplantae; Streptophyta; Magnoliopsida; Arecales; Arecaceae.